This 21-nucleotide microRNA is filed under the name Hyalella azteca. RNAcentral describes it as "miR-766". The record is from RNAcentral. Lineage: Eukaryota; Metazoa; Arthropoda; Malacostraca; Amphipoda; Hyalellidae.
ACUCCAGCCCCACAGCCACAG